Molecule: ribosomal RNA, 337 nt
Filed under: uncultured bacterium
Lineage: Bacteria
Description: bacterial SSU rRNA
Rfam family: Bacterial small subunit ribosomal RNA
Source: RNAcentral
AGGGUUUGAUUAUGGCUCAGGAUGAACGCUGGCGGCGCACUUAAGACAUGCAAGUCGAACGGACUUAACCGAAAUAUUUAUAUUUUGGAGCGGUUAGUGGCGGACUGGUGAGUAACGCGUAAGCAAUCUGCCUAUUAGAGGGGAAUAACAGUGAGAAAUCACUGCUAAUACCGCAUAUGCCAUGAACAUCGCAUGAUGAAAAUGGGAAAGGAGUAAUCCGCUAAUAGAUGAGCUUGCGUCUGAUUAACUAGUUGGUGUGGUAAUGGCAUACCAAGGUAACGAUCAGUAGCCGGACUGAGAGGUUGAACGGCCACAUUGGGACUGAGAUACGGCCCAG